RNAcentral lists this transfer RNA (87 nucleotides) under Cordylochernes scorpioides. RNAcentral's name for it is "tRNA-Tyr". The record is from RNAcentral. Lineage: Eukaryota; Metazoa; Arthropoda; Arachnida; Pseudoscorpiones; Chernetidae.
UCCCUCGAGCCGGAUUUGAACCAGCGACCUAAGGAUCACCGUUGUAACAUCUACAGUCCUCCACUCUGCCAACUGAGCUAUCAAGGG